GACAGGCUGUUCAAGUCAACUCUAUGAAAAAGUCAUAUGUGGAGUCAAAGCCUUUCCUUAUUCUGGCGAUGAAAAGAUUUUCCAACUGUCGCAGCGGCAUGUCCAGGAACAGGGAAACGAACAACGCCAUUGAAAACGAUAUUAACAGCAAUCCGCUAAACAAGUAAAGCUGAACAAAACAAAAUGAUGAAGGGAGAGGUAGUAGCCUUACCUGUAGAUUUUGUGAAGAAGGAGCAUCAAGAGGCUUAUUUUUCUUUCUGAUUCAUAUGUUGGUUUCAAAAUGACGUACGCUGUCAGGAAUCCACUGCAGAAAAAUGAAAUUUUAAAGCAUAGAUAAUGAUUUAUUAUUUAUCCAAAAUGUAUCUCAGAACAAAAACCAUAUUUACAUAAACUGUGGCGACGAGUUUGUGGUGUGAGACCUUUCUUGUUUUAAGAAUAAUUAAUAUAUGUUCAUAAUAUAGUUUGUUCAGUAAAAGCAUUCUUGCAGUGAUUAC
Molecule: long non-coding RNA, 494 nt
Organism: Limulus polyphemus (Atlantic horseshoe crab)
Lineage: Eukaryota; Metazoa; Arthropoda; Merostomata; Xiphosura; Limulidae
Exons: 3
Source: RefSeq, a predicted model, not a curated record